Molecule: long non-coding RNA, 787 nt
Organism: Anguilla anguilla (European eel)
Lineage: Eukaryota; Metazoa; Chordata; Actinopteri; Anguilliformes; Anguillidae
Exons: 5
Source: RefSeq, a predicted model, not a curated record
AGAAAAAAAAUAUGCAUGCAGUAAACACGCUCUUAGGAAUGUUAAAUACUCUACACACGGACUGAAGAAAUUUGAACGCGGCUGAUUUGCUCGGCAUCGUUGCCUCAGGCUCUCCGCCUUCUGGCUGGAAAAGCUUCAGUUUAGGCAGAGUUUCCUUCCGUCCAGUUCAGUUUUGAACCCUAAACAUGUAUUGUAGAAUUCCUUUCAGCCGUAGCUGGGUUCAGGGGCUGUUAGCCGUGUGCAUUUAUUUAGCAUUCAUUGCACGGUGCCAUGUUGGGGAAUGUGUUACUGAAAAAAGUACCGUGGCUGGCUGCUUCAGACCCAUCAGGGUAGUCUUUGACCCAGUGACCCCGCCCAGGCUCAGAGAAGGCUUUGGUUUUUCGUGAGGGCCUCGUUCAUUGCUGUAUACUUGCAAAAGACACCAUAGCCAACAAGCAAAAGAGGAAGACUUUGAAAUAAGCAUUUACGGAAUUGGAGAGUGACGGGAGCGACAGUGAUGGCGAACUUCCCUCUGGACUGGAGAGCUUAGACUCCAUAGAAACAGCAGCAUACGAUGACCGCUCGGAUCCUCUUCUGGACUCGAGGAAGUGGAGGACUAGGCAGGCUGGAACUGGAUGACCUCGCAUCAGCUUGCAAUGAAAGAAAGAAAAGACCUCACCAUGGCACCGCAGUUCUAAUAGGUGGCUGCUGUUCCAGAGCUUACAGCUGAGAAUGUGCACAGUGGAUCUCAGCCAGCACGGUCAGAGUCCAGUCCCCAAACUGCUGCCCCACACGGCAUCCACAUACU